GACAGAGGGGGCAAGCGUUGCUCGGAAUUACUGGGCGUAAAGGGCGCGUAGGCGGGAUGGCAAGUCGGUCGUGAAAUCCUUCGGCUCAACCGAAGAACGUCCAUCGAUACUGCUGUUCUUGAGGGUUGCAGAGGAGACUGGAAUUCCCGGUGUAGCGGUGAAAUGUGUAGAGAUCGGGAGGAACACCGGUGGCGAAGGCGGGUCUCUGGGCAAUUCCUGACGCUGAGGCGCGAAAGCGUGGGGAGCAAACGGG
RNAcentral lists this ribosomal RNA (253 nucleotides) under uncultured bacterium. RNAcentral describes it as "partial 16S ribosomal RNA". It matches the Rfam family "Bacterial small subunit ribosomal RNA", at positions 524 to 776 of the family's 1533-position model. The record is from RNAcentral.